ACGGUAUGUCGAGACAUAAUUUUAAAUGAUAUUUAAAAGAAAACCGCAGAGAGUACAUCCGCGAAGAUUUUGUUUUCCAGGACGAAUGUCUUGAAGAAUAAUUUUUAAUAAGCAGUUUUACUAAACAACCUGCAAAAGGAGUAAAUUUCCUUUGGACUCCAUGUGCACACGGACAGCUGUGGACACGUUUAUCUAGAGAAAAGUUAUAUAUUAUACGAAGUUCCCUAUCCUGUGCAGCCGGAUUGAUGUAAAAUGACGUUUGGCCAAGGAAG
This is a long non-coding RNA of Belonocnema kinseyi, 272 nucleotides long. RefSeq lists it as uncharacterized. The transcript has 3 exons. The record is from RefSeq and is a predicted model, not a curated record. NCBI's taxonomy places the organism in Eukaryota, Metazoa, Arthropoda, Insecta, Hymenoptera, Cynipidae.